AAAUUGAAGAGUUUGAUCAUGGCUCAGAUUGAACGCUGGCGGCAGGCCUAACACAUGCAAGUCGAGCGGAAACGAGUUAUCUGAACCUUCGGGGGACGAUAACGGCGUCGAGCGGCGGACGGGUGAGUAAUGCCUAGGAAAUUGCCCUGAUGUGGGGGAUAACCAUUGGAAACGAUGGCUAAUACCGCAUGAUGCCUACGGGCCAAAGAGGGGGACCUUCGGGCCUCUCGCGUCAGGAUAUGCCUAGGUGGGAUUAGCUAGUUGGUGAGGUAAGGGCUCACCAAGGCGACGAUCCCUAGCUGGU
This 304-nucleotide ribosomal RNA is filed under the name Vibrio parahaemolyticus. Its description in RNAcentral is "partial 16S ribosomal RNA". It matches the Rfam family "Bacterial small subunit ribosomal RNA", at positions 1 to 291 of the family's 1533-position model. Lineage: Bacteria; Pseudomonadati; Pseudomonadota; Gammaproteobacteria; Vibrionales; Vibrionaceae. The record is from RNAcentral.